Long non-coding RNA from Helianthus annuus (common sunflower), 1392 nucleotides. RefSeq lists it as uncharacterized. The transcript has 3 exons. The record is from RefSeq and is a predicted model, not a curated record. Lineage: Eukaryota; Viridiplantae; Streptophyta; Magnoliopsida; Asterales; Asteraceae.
AAUACUUUGAGAAAGCAAAGUAUAUAAAAAGGCCCGAGAUUUAACGGGACUUAAAAUAAAACGGGUUGUGAACAAGAUAAAGUAACUAGGAAAUAAAUAACUUAGUACAAGUCUUGUAAUUAAAUGAAAGAAGUUAGUUUGAUGUGAAAAUAGUCUAAAAAUAUAAACUAAAGGGGCUGAUUAUGUAUAAGUGGCCAAACUAGACUUUUAUAAAAAAAAAAAGAAAUCAAACACACACACAUCAGUGUGUGCGUGGGGAACGACCAGAGCAGGAAGAAAAAGGGUAAAACCCUAAACUCCACAAAAUCUUCUAAUUGAAGGUGCAAUUGAAGACCAAACUCGGAUUUGAAUACAUAUAAACGAUCACCGAGCUAAGGGGAUCGUAAGUUGGCUCUAAACAAGCUAGGUGGGAGCUUGGAAAGGAACGGGUCAAACGGAUCAUGGAUGCGAAGAAUGUUUGCGCGAACGCGAGUUAAAUGUUCGCAGGAGUGAACGGGAAGUGGAUUAUUGCGUUGCUAUAAAGUAGCGGCUAAUAAAAGAAAGGUACAAAACGGGUCUAUAUGUUGACUCGAGCCAGGUACGCAUUAAUUAGAUCAUGGCGAUAUGCGUAGUUGAAUUUUAGAAUAUAAGUUACUAUGAAAUAUAGCGAUGAUAUCGCUACAUUGAAUAUUUGGUCAAAAGAUGGUUAGAACUCGUUGGUAGUCGUCAAAAAGGAAGGAAUUCCGUAGACGAGCCAAACGGGUCGAAUAAUCAGGUAAGGCAUGGUUAUUGUUUCGGAUUAUGAUGGUUUGAUGGUUGAUUUUGAAUAUUUUAUAACAUAUUAGAAAUAUGAGGUUUUAACGAAUUAGUAUCAUAGAAAACUGAAAACCGAGAGUUGGGUCUUGGAGUAAUGAUCAAACAAAACAAAACCUGACAUUCCAGGUACUACCGUAAAUUACGGUGGUUGUGAUAUGGUUUACGGAGCAGAUCUCCUGGUUUACGGUGACCAGACACUUCCAGGUCUCACCGUAAAUUACGGUGAUACCGUAAUUUACGGUGGAUUCAGAAUCACUUUUUAUAUUUUUGUUAUUUCUAAUGUGGCAUUAAGCCUUGGGAUUAUAUUAUUAUAUAACAACGUCAAAACUAAUGAUUUUAACGGUUUUGAUCAUAGGUGAAUGCCAAGAGUGCCCGGAUGAAGAUCAAGCUCGAUGAGGAACCGAACACAAUAAAAUCUAACACUCGGGAUUAAAGCUUCCGCACGGCGUUACGCCAUAUCUUUUAAACAACGAACUUAUCUAUAUUAUGUUGAAAACUUUUAAGUUGUAAAAGUUUUAGAUUACUUGUAUUUUCUAAGAAUACUUAAUCGAAAUUUCAUGUUUAUUUUCGUUAUUUAUACGAAAACUUUAAAAAUUA